GACGAACCGUGCGAACGUUGUUCGGAUUCACUGGGCUUAAAGGGCGCGUAGGCGGCUUGCCAAGUCAGGGGUGAAAUCUUUCGGCUCAACCGGAAAAGUGCUUCUGAUACUGGCAGGCUGGAGGGAGGUAGGGGCAGAUGGAACUUCCGGUGGAGCGGUGAAAUGCGUAGAUAUCGUUUGGAACGCCAAUGGUGAAAACAGGUUGCUGGGGGUGUGCUGACGCUGAGACACGAAAGCCAGGGGAGCAAACGGG
RNAcentral lists this ribosomal RNA (253 nucleotides) under uncultured bacterium. Its description in RNAcentral is "partial 16S ribosomal RNA". It matches the Rfam family "Bacterial small subunit ribosomal RNA", at positions 524 to 776 of the family's 1533-position model. The record is from RNAcentral.